RNAcentral lists this ribosomal RNA (274 nucleotides) under uncultured bacterium. Its description in RNAcentral is "partial 16S ribosomal RNA". It matches the Rfam family "Bacterial small subunit ribosomal RNA", at positions 523 to 796 of the family's 1533-position model. The record is from RNAcentral.
AUACGGAGGGUCCAAGCGUUAUCCGGAAUCAUUGGGUUUAAAGGGUGCGCAGGCGGUUUAUUAAGUCAGUGGUGAAAUCUCGAGGCUCAACCUCGAAACUGCCAUUGAUACUGAUAAACUUGAGUUCAGUUGGAGUAGGCGGAAUGUGUAGUGUAGCGGUGAAAUGCUUAGAUAUUACACAGAACACCGAUAGCGAAGGCAGCUUACUAAACUGAUACUGACGCUGAGGCACGAAAGCGUGGGGAGCGAACAGGAUUAGAAACCCUAGUAGUCC